RNAcentral lists this ribosomal RNA (428 nucleotides) under uncultured Bacillota bacterium. RNAcentral describes it as "bacterial SSU rRNA". It matches the Rfam family "Bacterial small subunit ribosomal RNA", at positions 958 to 1385 of the family's 1533-position model. Lineage: Bacteria; Bacillati; Bacillota. The record is from RNAcentral.
AACGCGAAGAACCUUACCAGGUCUUGACAUCCUCUGACAAUCCUAGAGAUAGGACGUUCCCCUUCGGGGGACAGAGUGACAGGUGGUGCAUGGUUGUCGUCAGCUCGUGUCGUGAGAUGUUGGGUUAAGUCCCGCAACGAGCGCAACCCUUGAUCUUAGUUGCCAGCAUUCAGUUGGGCACUCUAAGGUGACUGCCGGUGACAAACCGGAGGAAGGUGGGGAUGACGUCAAAUCAUCAUGCCCCUUAUGACCUGGGCUACACACGUGCUACAAUGGAUGGUACAAAGGGCUGCAAAACCGCGAGGUCGAGCCAAUCCCAUAAAACCAUUCUCAGUUCGGAUUGUAGGCUGCAACUCGCCUACAUGAAGCUGGAAUCGCUAGUAAUCGUGGAUCAGCAUGCCACGGUGAAUACGUUCCCGGGCCUUGUA